Molecule: ribosomal RNA, 442 nt
Filed under: uncultured bacterium
Lineage: Bacteria
Description: partial 16S ribosomal RNA
Rfam family: Bacterial small subunit ribosomal RNA
Source: RNAcentral
CCUACGGGUGGCAGCAGUAGGGAAUCUUUCACAAUGGGCGAAAGCCUGAUGGAGCAACGCCGCGUGCAGGAUGAAGGCCUUCGGGUUGUAAACUGCUUUUAUAAGCGAGAAAUAUGAUGGUAACUUAUGAAUAAGGAUCGGCUAACUACGUGCCAGCAGCCGCGGUCAUACGUAGGAUCCGAGCAUUAUCCGGAGUGACUGGGUGUAAAGAGUUGCGUAGGUGGCAUAAUAAGGAGCUAGGGAAAUCUGGUGGCUCAACCAUUCAGACUAUUAGGUAAACUGUUAAGCUCGAGAGCGUUAGGGGUAAGUGGAAUUUCUAGUGUAGGAGUGAAAUGCGUAGAUAUUAGAAGGAACACCAAUAGCGUAGGCAGGUUGCUGGGACGGUUCUGACACUAAGGCACGAAAGCGUAGGGAGCAAACGGGAUUAGAUACCCGUGUAGUC